RNAcentral lists this long non-coding RNA (297 nucleotides) under Panax ginseng (ginseng). RNAcentral describes it as "long non-coding RNA (PGIN_LNC010662)". Lineage: Eukaryota; Viridiplantae; Streptophyta; Magnoliopsida; Apiales; Araliaceae. The record is from RNAcentral.
UUAAACACAUUGUCAAACACAUUCUUCUCAAUAUGCAUCACAUCUAGAUUAUGACGAAUCAAAUUUGUAGACCAAUACGGCAGUUCCCAAAAGAUGCUUCUCCGAACCCAGUUAUGAGAUUCACCAAACCCAUUGAUUAUGUUUGUGACAUCAACCUUACCAAAUGGGAUAACCGGCAAUCUCAUCACACGAUCUCGUAUCUCUGUUCCCGACAAUCGCGGUGCAGGCAUAUCAUUAUCUACUUUCCCUUUCCUGAAGUGUUCUCUAUUUCUUCGAAAUGGGUGAUCUACCGGUAAG